CGAGUGAGCGGCAAAAGCUCAAAUUUGAAAUCUGGUACCUUCGGUGCCCGAGAAGUAAUUUGGAGAGGGCAACUUUGGGGCCGUUCCUUGUCUAUGUUCCUUGGAACAGGACGUCAUAGAGGGUGAGAAUCCCGUGUGGCGAGGAGUGCGGUUCUUUGUAAAGUGCCCUCGAAGAGUCGAGUUGUUUGGGAAUGCAGCUCUAAGUGGGUGGUAAAUUCCAUCUAAAGCUAAAUAUUGGCGAGAGACCGAUAGCGAACAAGUACAGUGAUGGAAAGAUGAAAAGAACUUUGAAAAGAGAGUGAAAAAGUACGUGAAAUUGUUGAAAGGGAAGGGCAUUUGAUCAGACAUGGUGUUUUGUGCCCUCUGCUCCUUGUGGGUAGGGGAAUCUCGCAUUUCACUGGGCCAGCAUCAGUUUUGGUGGCAGGAUAAAUCCAUAGGAAUGUAGCUUGCCUCGGUAAGUAUUAUA
This 466-nucleotide ribosomal RNA is filed under the name Saccharomyces cerevisiae (brewer's yeast). RNAcentral's name for it is "eukaryotic LSU rRNA". It matches the Rfam family "Eukaryotic large subunit ribosomal RNA", at positions 90 to 559 of the family's 3401-position model. The record is from RNAcentral. Lineage: Eukaryota; Fungi; Ascomycota; Saccharomycetes; Saccharomycetales; Saccharomycetaceae.